Molecule: RNA transcript, 2272 nt
Organism: Anas platyrhynchos (mallard)
Lineage: Eukaryota; Metazoa; Chordata; Aves; Anseriformes; Anatidae
Source: RefSeq, a predicted model, not a curated record
CCGGCCCCAGCACCGAGCCCUGGGGACGCCACUAGUGACCGGCCUCCAACUGGACUUGACUCCAUUUACCACGACUCUUUGGGCCUGGCUAUCCAGCCAGUUUCUAACCCAACGAAGCGUGCGCCAGGGGCGUGGCCGUGUGGCGGCUGCCGGCGAGAUGGCGGUGGCCGGGGAGGUGGCAAAUCCUCGGCGUCCUGCGCGCCCUCCGCCCGCGGCCUCGAGCGGCCCAACCCGCUGGUGCGCCUCACCUGCCCCGUGUGCCUCGAGGUGUUCGACAGCCCCGUGCGCGUCACAGGAGUGCUAACUUCAUGGAACACCUUCAGAGAUGACACCGGUUUUCAUACGAUACUUUUGUGGAUUAUGAUGCUGAUGAAGAUGACAUGAUGGCACAGGUUUUGAUGUGUUCUUUGCGGGAUAAAUAAAAUAAAAAAGAAGACUAAUUGUCAAACCAAGCUUCCAUGAGAGGGAAAUGGCCAGCAUUCUUGCACUUCUCCCUGUCCAUGCCAAGAUGAACUCAGGCAUUCAGAAAUAUGGAAGACUUUAAUCUUAGUUUUGAAUCCCCGUUUGAUCUUUUGGUAUCAUUCUUGUUUUUUAUUAAUAUGACUAUGUUGCUCAACCACGUAAGGCUAAUUUUCUUUUUUGUUUCACACAAAGCUUAUUUAUAGGUCAGUGUGGAGGAGACAGUUCUGUUUUCCUUCACAUCUGCCUGUUUUCUGAUUGCUUUCUGCCAGUUGUGCUAGUUUGACUAAAGCCAGAAAUACUCCAAAUUGACUGGCAUGAGCUAGCUGGUAAAUCUCUUCUUCCCCUGAUCUUGUUUACAUUUCUUAAAUGAUAGUAUGAGAGGUGUCUUUGUGGCUCUUUUCCUUUAGUGAGACCCCUAGGUGCUAACUCACCAGAUUAGUUCCUGUUUCAACUGGCCUAUGAUGCCUGUGAUUUCAUGAUGUUUACCAGUGUUUGAAUUCUCACAGGCAGCCUCUCAAUUAUAUGGAAAACAUGUCUUCAGUAUGUCUUCAAACUGCAACAUUCCUUAGCAAAAAUGUUUGAAGCUGAGUAAGAAACUAGUUCAAAGCACUUUAGUUCUAUACCUGAUUACGCUUUUGUUCCAUACUUUGACCAUAAUUUCUAGCCUGCCUGGAAAACAGAACUUUGGUGUUAGCUAAAAUGCGUAACUUUCAACUGUUACAGCAAAUAUUAAUCAUUUGUUGGCCUUACUAAAUUGGUGUUUAAAAAAUCGGUUUUCUAGGAAUCUUAAGCCUUAUGCUUGUAGGGGAAUUCAGAAGCUUUUUCAAUAUCCGUAUCUUAUGUAAACUAAAAAUUUCAUAUAUAUAUUCCUAGUUGUUCCAUCCCUCAAGGCAAGCUGGUAGCAAAACUUAUAACCCGUAGCACUUGCACAGCACUGCCUUCCGCAUUGCAGAUUCUAACAAGUAUUUUGAAUUCCUGUUUUUACUUAAAUGUCGCUAAGGUAGCUGAAGCUGUGCUUAGAUUGUUUUCCAUAUACAUACAGUAUGGAGGUAUAGCUUUCAAAGAAAAUGUAAAAUAUAAACAAGUUUGAGUUCAUAGACAAUGGAUACUUGAUACUCAGUUGUACACUUUCAUUGUAGAGUUUCAUUUUUAGUUUAACACUAAUUGCACGAUCUGUAUGCUGAGAUCAAGCAGUCUCAGAGACCCGAACAGAACUUGGAAAUUGGAGUAGUAGUGCUGAGAUGUCUGGUCUCAUUGAACUUGGCAUGCCUGAUUGGAGCAGUGGACCUGCAUCACCACAGAACUGAGUACUAACCAAUUUAUUUGACCAAUAAACUUCACACUCUGCAGACUGCAGCAUAGCCUUACCCUUAAGAAAUGAAACGCACCCCAGCUAAAACAUCUUGAUUAAACUUUGUGUCCAGCAAGUUUGUGGCUUCUAAUAUAUUUAACUUGGUUUUGGUGUGCUUUCCCUAAUGUGGUAAGGCUGGUAUAGAUUCUCACUGAGGUAUCUGCUUGGUGACUGCAAUCUUAGUCUUAGGGAAAAAAUACAUCAGUGUGGGAAAAGUACUGUGUUAUGGGGUUGGUGAUUCCUAAUGCUUGGUCUGUGAAGAGAUUACAAGGUGCUAGUGGUUGGGUAGGGAUUUCUAGGUUCUGGCUAUGACAAAGUUUUGUGAUAAAGACUGGCCUGAGUCUAGAUUUCUGCAACUGUUCUAAGUGCACUUCCACGCAAUUCUGACAUUCAUAGGUAUUACAGUUUUGCACCUACAUAAAAUCUGCUUGAUCUUUGGGGAAUGGAAAAAAAAAAAAA